Molecule: ribosomal RNA, 469 nt
Filed under: Enterococcus italicus
Lineage: Bacteria; Bacillati; Bacillota; Bacilli; Lactobacillales; Enterococcaceae
Description: bacterial SSU rRNA
Rfam family: Bacterial small subunit ribosomal RNA
Source: RNAcentral
GACGAACGCUGGCGGCGUGCCUAAUACAUGCAAGUUGAACGCUUCUUUCUUAUCGAACUUCGGUUCACCAAGAAAGAGGAGUAGCGAACGGGUGAGUAACACGUGGGUAACCUGCCCAUCAGCGGGGGAUAACACUUGGAAACAGGUGCUAAUACCGCAUAAUGCUUUUUCUCACAUGAGAGAAAGCUGAAAGGCGCUUUUGCGUCACUGAUGGAUGGACCCGCGGUGCAUUAGCUAGUUGGUAGGGUAACGGCCUACCAAGGCAACGAUGCAUAGCCGACCUGAGAGGGUGAUCGGCCACACUGGGACUGAGACACGGCCCAGACUCCUACGGGAGGCAGCAGUAGGGAAUCUUCGGCAAUGGACGAAAGUCUGACCGAGCAACGCCGCGUGAGUGAAGAAGGUUUUCGGAUCGUAAAACUCUGUUGUUAGAGAAGAACAAGGAUGAGAAGAGAAUGUUCAUCCCUGG